Molecule: ribosomal RNA, 371 nt
Filed under: uncultured organism
Description: bacterial SSU rRNA
Rfam family: Bacterial small subunit ribosomal RNA
Source: RNAcentral
CGUAGGGUGCAAGCGUUAAUCGGAAUUACUGGGCGUAAAGCGUGCGCAGGCGGUUUUGUAAGUCUGUCGUGAAAUCCCCGGGCUCAACCUGGGAAUGGCGAUGGAGACUGCAAGGCUAGAGUUUGGCAGAGGGGGGGUAGAAUUCCACGUGUAGCAGUGAAAUGCGUAGAUAUGUGGAGGAACACCGAUGGCGAAGGCAGCCCCCUGGGUCAAAACUGACGCUCAUGCACGAAAGCGUGGGGAGCAAACAGGAUUAGAUACCCUGGUAGUCCACGCCCUAAACGAUGUCUACUAGUUGUCGGGUCUUAAUUGACUUGGUAACGCAGCUAACGCGUGAAGUAGACCGCCUGGGGAGUACGGUCGCAAGAUUA